This 448-nucleotide ribosomal RNA is filed under the name uncultured bacterium. Its description in RNAcentral is "bacterial SSU rRNA". It matches the Rfam family "Bacterial small subunit ribosomal RNA", at positions 329 to 794 of the family's 1533-position model. The record is from RNAcentral.
UGCCAGACUCCUACGGGAGGCAGCAGUGGGGAAUAUUGCACAAUGGGGGAAACCCUGAUGCAGCGACGCCGCGUGAGCGAUGAAGUAUUUCGGUAUGUAAAGCUCUAUCAGCAGGGAAGAAGAUGACGGUACCUGACUAAGAAGCCCCGGCUAACUACGUGCCAGCAGCCGCGGUAAUACGUAGGGGGCAAGCGUUAUCCGGAUUUACUGGGUGUAAAGGGAGCGUAGACGGCGGCGCAAGCCAGAUGUGAAAGCCCGGGGCUCAACUCCGGGACUGCAUUUGGAACUGUGUGGCUGGAGUGUCGGAGAGGCAGGCGGAAUUCCUAGUGUAGCGGUGAAAUGCGUAGAUAUUAGGAGGAACACCAGUGGCGAAGGCGGCCUGCUGGACGAUGACUGACGUUGAGGCUCGAAAGCGUGGGGAGCAAACAGGAUUAGAUACCCGCGUAAC